UGUUGUUUUUCCGAAAAUCAAUUAUGAAUGGCUUGAUUUUGUGUUGUAUUGACCUUAUCAGCUUUCUGCACUUUUUUCGAGUCUUUCUUAAUGCACUUUUUGGUUAACAAGUCAACAUCAAUUUCUUUUGUUGUAAAAGAGUAUUCGGAAGGUGGCUUUCUUUUCGGAGAAAGUGUUUAUAGCCCUAUACUUCUACAAUCGGAGAGAUUGAGGUCUGCAGCGUAGAUUCUUCGGGGUUAGAUACACUUGUGCUAAGUUGUAGCUUUUCAUAGACAACUUGUUGACUAUGUUUAGUCAUGCGGCUUACUCGCUUGUGCUAUUUUACCUAC
Molecule: ribosomal RNA, 329 nt
Filed under: Neocallimastigales sp.
Lineage: Eukaryota; Fungi; Neocallimastigomycota; Neocallimastigomycetes; Neocallimastigales
Description: partial large subunit ribosomal RNA
Source: RNAcentral